GUGCCAGCCGCCGCGGUAAUACCGGCAGCCCGAGUGAUGGCUGAUCUUAUUGGGCCUAAAGCGUCCGUAGCUGGCUGCGCAAGUCCGUCGGGAAAUCCAGUAGCUCAACUACUGGGCGUCCGGUGGAAACUACAAGGCUUGGGACCGGAAGGCUCGAGGGGUACGUCCGGGGUAGGAGUGAAAUCCCGUAAUCCCGCACGGACCACCGAUGGCGAAAGCACUUCGAGAAAACGGAUCCGACAGUGAGGGACGAAAGCCAGGGUCUCCAACCGGAUUAGAAACCCUAGUAGUCC
This 293-nucleotide ribosomal RNA is filed under the name uncultured bacterium. RNAcentral's name for it is "partial 16S ribosomal RNA". It matches the Rfam family "Archaeal small subunit ribosomal RNA", at positions 455 to 747 of the family's 1478-position model. The record is from RNAcentral.